Molecule: ribosomal RNA, 432 nt
Rfam family: Archaeal large subunit ribosomal RNA
AAAAACAUAGCCCUAGGUAAUAAUAUAGGGUAAUACCUGCUCAAUGAAUAGUAUUUUAAUAGCCGCGGUACCUUGACCGUGCUAAGGUAGCAUAAUCAGUUGACUUUUAAAUGAAGUCUGGAAUGAAGGGAAGAAUGGGAUUGAGCUGUCUCCUAUUUUUUAUUAUGAAUUUACUAAUCAGGUGAAAAGGCCUGAGUAAGAUAAAAGACGAGAAGACCCUUAGAGUUUUUUAAAAUAUUUUGUUGGGGCGACAAAGAAUCAUUUAACAUUCUUAUAUAUGAUGAGACGGAUUUUUCAUGAAUAGAUAAACUACCUGAGGGAUAACAGCAUUAUCUUUUUAGGUUUGUGACCUCGAUGUUGGACUAGGAAGCCUAUAGGCUAGCCGCUUAUACGGGGGGUUCUGUUCGAACUUUUUCUCCUACGUGAUCUGAG